Non-coding RNA from Macaca mulatta (Rhesus monkey), 87 nucleotides. Lineage: Eukaryota; Metazoa; Chordata; Mammalia; Primates; Cercopithecidae. The record is from Rfam.
UCUCAUGCUGUGACCCUCCAAAGGGAAACACUUUCUGUUGUCUAAAAGAAAAGAAGGCGCGUCCCUUUGGAGUGUUACAGUUUGAGG